This 460-nucleotide ribosomal RNA is filed under the name uncultured bacterium. RNAcentral's name for it is "partial 16S ribosomal RNA". It matches the Rfam family "Bacterial small subunit ribosomal RNA", at positions 338 to 795 of the family's 1533-position model. The record is from RNAcentral.
CCUACGGGAGGCAGCAGUGAGGAAUAUUGGUCAAUGGCCGGAAGGCUGAACCAGCCAUGCCGCGUGAAGGUCAGUGCCCUAUGGGCGUUAAACUUCUUUUGUGCGGGAGCAAUAAUGGUCACGUGUGGCCAGACGAGAGUACCGUACGAAUAAGCAUCGGCUAACUACGUGCCAGCAGCCGCGGUAAUACGUAGGGAGCAAGCGUUGUUCGGAAUGACUGGGCGUAAAGGGUGCGUAGGCGGUUAUACAAGUUAGAAGUGAAAUACCCAGGGCUUAACUCGGGUGCUGCUUCUAAAACUGUAAGACGUGAGUGCAGUAGAGGUUAGUGGAAUUCCUAGUGUAGCGGUGGAAUGCGUAGAUAUUAGGAGGAACACCAGAGGCGAAGGCGGCUAACUGGACUGCAACUGACGCUGAGGCACGAAAGUGUGGGGAGCAAACAGGAUUAGAUACCCUUGUAGUC